Ahaetulla prasina is the source of this 1509-nucleotide long non-coding RNA. RefSeq lists it as uncharacterized. Lineage: Eukaryota; Metazoa; Chordata; Lepidosauria; Squamata; Colubridae. The record is from RefSeq and is a predicted model, not a curated record. The transcript is spliced from 3 exons.
UAUGUUGUAGCCCAGUUUAUUACCUUUUGAGGUCUUGCUUGACGUGAAUCAAUUAUGAUUUAUUUUUAAACGUGCCACCGUAUUGCUAAUUCCAAUUUCAAUGUAGCCCGUCAGAUUCACCCUACAAAUCCUAAGUGACGGCAUGCCACAAUUUGCGGCGUUUUAAGAGAAAAUUCGGAGGUUUUUAAAGAAAAAUCUAAAGAAGGCAUCCGUCUUUGUCACAGUCUUCGUAUUAACUUCGUUUUUUUAAAAAAAAAUGGUCUUUAGAUUUCUGAACAUUUUAAGGUAUUUAAACUGCAAUUUCAGCGAUUUCUGGUGGACUUUUAUCGGCGGAGCGUUAAUACCAUACAAACACAUUUAUUUAUUUAUUUUAUUUAUUUUUUUAUUUGCAUUUAUAUCCCGCCCUUCUCCGAAGACUCAGGGCGGCUUACACUAUGUCAAGCAAUAGUCUUCAUCCAUUUGUAUAUUGUAUACAAAGUCAACUUAUUGCCCCCAACAAUCUGGGUCCUCAUUUUACCUACCUUAUAAAGGAUGGAAGGCUGAUUACGCGUUUCAAUUUAAAACUAUAUUACUGAGCUCGUUUAGAGAUAUAAAGAGCCUUUCCUUCCUGCUAUCUUGACCAACCCAGCUACUUAACAGCUGGAUAACCUUGGAUUUUGCAUUGGAAUUCCGUUAUAAAGAAAGGGAAAAGCGACUUAAGUAGCCUGUAUAUCCUACAAAUCUGAUAAAAAGCACUUCCUUGGCUCUGCUACAUUUUCUGGAAUAAAUUGCUCAUUGGGCCAAGAAGUCAGGGCAAUGGUGACCAAGAUGGAAAGCCCAGCUACACAUCUGUAGAGCAUUAUCGGUUGGAGUUCUUACAUAAAGAAGGUAAUAAGGAGUUGCUGAUCCAGUUCUACAGCGGAAUUAUUGAGUCUGUCAUCUGCACCUCUAUAAUUGUCUGGUUUGGUUCUGCAACCCAACAAGACAGACACAGAUUUCAGAGGAUAAUUAGAACUGCAGAAAAAACAAGUACUACCAACACUGAAGACAUGUAUACUGCACGAGUCAAAAAGAGGGAUGUGAAAAUAUUUACAGAUCCCUCACAUCCAGCAAGUAGCCUCAGCACUUACCUAAGGAUAUUAAAAGAGAAAGGGAAAGCAAUGUUCAAUGUUUCAAUGUACCACUAGUGAACGUUAAAAAAACCACAAUUUUAUCAAGGGUGAAAAAGGCAGUUUAGCAUGAAAAUGCUCCUUAUGAAGUGAGCGGGAAUGACAGGCAGCUUGGUAACCCAGAUGACUGACAUGGAGGGCUGCAUCCAGAUUCAAAGAGGAGGGGCCAUGCUCAUCAAACAAUAGCUGUUUGGAGCAAAGACAUCACCUAUAACAAAAUAAAGCACAGCAUGUGGACUGUUUGGCACAGGUUAUCCUGGCAUUUACUAAAUCUGUACUAUUAAUUUCAUCGUUCCCAUCACCCGUCUCCUUCCACUUAUGACUGUAUGACUGUAACUUUGUUGCUUGUAUCCUUACAAUU